GGAAGUAAAAGUCGUAACAAGGUUUCCGUAGGUGAACCUGCGGAAGGAUCAUUACCGAGUUUUCGGGCUUCGGCUCGACUCUCCCACCCUUUGUGAACGUACCUCUGUUGCUUUGGCGGCUUCGGCCGCCAAAGGACCUUCAAACUCCAGUCAGUAAACGCAGACGUCUGAUAAACAAGUUAAUAAACUAAAACUUUCAACAACGGAUCUCUUGGUUCUGGCAUCGAUGAAGAACGCAGCGAAAUGCGAUAAGUAAUGUGAAUUGCAGAAUUCAGUGAAUCAUCGAAUCUUUGAACGCACAUUGCGCCCCUUGGUAUUCCGGGGGGCAUGCCUGUUCGAGCGUCAUUACAACCCUCAAGCUCUGCUUGGAAUUGGGCACCGUCCUCACUGCGGACGCGCCUCAAAGACCUCGGCGGUGGCUGUUCAGCCCUCAAGCGUAGUAGAAUACACCUCGCUUUGGAGCGGUUGGCGUCGCCCGCCGGACGAACCUUCUGAACUUUUCUCAAGGUUGACCUCGGAUCAGGUAGGGAUACCCGCUGAACUUAAGCAUAUCAAUAAGCGGAGGA
This 566-nucleotide ribosomal RNA is filed under the name Lasiodiplodia theobromae. Its description in RNAcentral is "eukaryotic LSU rRNA". The stretch from base 192 to 345 matches the Rfam family "5.8S ribosomal RNA". The record is from RNAcentral. Lineage: Eukaryota; Fungi; Ascomycota; Dothideomycetes; Botryosphaeriales; Botryosphaeriaceae.